Molecule: long non-coding RNA, 885 nt
Organism: Coccinella septempunctata (seven-spotted ladybird)
Lineage: Eukaryota; Metazoa; Arthropoda; Insecta; Coleoptera; Coccinellidae
Exons: 3
Source: RefSeq, a predicted model, not a curated record
UGUUACAUUUGUAUUGAAUGUUUGUGAUGAAUAUUGUACAUGAUAACUUGUAUUAUAAACAAUAAAAUGCUAGCAAAAAAUGGAUUGUAAUAUAGGUGGGGUAUUGUAGUAUUUUGUAAUAAUGUAAACAACGGCAAAAUGUUAAGUAUUAUAAUUUUGUAAAUAAGUUAACACAUUAUCAAAUAUUUUCAAUACGUAAAUCGAUCAUUUUUCACGAAUAAAUUGGGGAUAAUUUCAAUUAUCCCAUAAGUACAUUCUCGGCUCCCAAAAACAACACUGAAAUCUUUAUAAUGAAGAAUUAUUUAAUUUUCAAAUAUAAUAAGUUUCAUAAUAUUGCAGUUUCAUUAUUAACCUAAGUUGUAUACCUACGUAACUACAUUCAAAUCCGGAGGACCAGCCGUGAACACUCUAUCAUGCAUCAUUCAGACCAUGAUCACGCUGAGGUUAAUUUGUAAAUUGCAUUUAGAAGGAGCAAAGGCCUCAGACGGUUUAGAUUUACAACUGACGCCGAAAGGUGGCGUUGCGGUCAAGUUGUUUCUCAAAUGGUUGGGACGAAUUUGAUGAAAUCCUGUGAGGCCCGGAUGGUUUCGAUUUAUAAUCGAGCCCGAAGGGUGGCGUUGCAGUCGAGUUUUAAGAUUGUAUCUCAAAAGCCUGUGACAAUUUUCAUGAAAAAACGUGUGUGGGUUUAGCUAGGGUCCAAGAUGGCUUAGAUUCUAAACUGGUUCGGAAGGUGGCGUUACAGUCAAGUACUAAUGGGAUUGUUUUUUAAUGGCCCUGUUGGCUAUUUAUUUGUAUUACUUUUUGUUAUUAUUUUCAUCCCUAGUUGAAUGUUAUUUAGUUAACAGACUGUUGUCAAAUAGUUUUGAACAUCUCAGGUAUGUUCAA